RNAcentral lists this ribosomal RNA (406 nucleotides) under uncultured microorganism. Its description in RNAcentral is "bacterial SSU rRNA". It matches the Rfam family "Bacterial small subunit ribosomal RNA", at positions 9 to 410 of the family's 1533-position model. The record is from RNAcentral.
GAGUUUGAUCCUGGCUCAGAUUGAACGCUGGCGGCAUGCCUUACACAUGCAAGUCGAACGGCAGCAUGAUCUAGCUUGCUAGAUUGAUGGCGAGUGGCGAACGGGUGAGUAAUACAUCGGAACGUGCCCUGUAGUGGGGGAUAACUAGUCGAAAGAUUAGCUAAUACCGCAUACGACCUGAGGGUGAAAGUGGGGGACCGGCAAGGCCUCAUGCUAUAGGAGCGGCCGAUGUCUGAUUAGCUAGUUGGUGGGGUAAAGGCCCACCAAGGCGACGAUCAGUAGCUGGUCUGAGAGGACGAUCAGCCACACUGGGACUGAGACACGGCCCAGACUCCUACGGGAGGCAGCAGUGGGGAAUUUUGGACAAUGGGCGAAAGCCUGAUCCAGCAAUGCCGCGUGUGUGAAG